RNAcentral lists this transfer RNA (72 nucleotides) under Paramuricea clavata. It matches the Rfam family "tRNA". From Rfam's summary of the family: Transfer RNA (tRNA) molecules are approximately 80 nucleotides in length. Their secondary structure includes four short double-helical elements and three loops (D, anti-codon, and T loops). The record is from Rfam by way of RNAcentral. Lineage: Eukaryota; Metazoa; Cnidaria; Anthozoa; Malacalcyonacea; Plexauridae.
CUGUCUGUAGCUCAGUUGUUAGAGCGCUGCACUGGAAUCGCAGGGACGCAGGUUCGAUUCAUGACAGAGGGC